This 901-nucleotide ribosomal RNA is filed under the name Campylobacter coli. Its description in RNAcentral is "partial 23S ribosomal RNA". It matches the Rfam family "Bacterial large subunit ribosomal RNA", at positions 288 to 1188 of the family's 2925-position model. Lineage: Bacteria; Pseudomonadati; Campylobacterota; Epsilonproteobacteria; Campylobacterales; Campylobacteraceae. The record is from RNAcentral.
GCACUGGGGGUUGUAGGACUGCAAUGUGCAAGAGGUGAGUUUAGCAGAACAUUCUGGAAAGUAUAGCCAUAGAGGGUGAUAGUCCCGUAUGCGAAAAACAAACCUUAGCUAGCAGUAUCCUGAGUAGGGCGGGACACGAGGAAUCCUGUCUGAAUCCGGGUCGACCACGAUCCAACCCUAAAUACUAAUACCAGAUCGAUAGUGCACAAGUACCGUGAGGGAAAGGUGAAAAGAACUGAGGUGAUCAGAGUGAAAUAGAACCUGAAACCAUUUGCUUACAAUCAUUCAGAGCACUAUGUAGCAAUACAGUGUGAUGGACUGCCUUUUGCAUAAUGAGCCUGCGAGUUGUGGUGUCUGGCAAGGUUAAGCAAACGCGAAGCCGUAGCGAAAGCGAGUCUGAAUAGGGCGCUUAGUCAGAUGCUGCAGACCCGAAACGAAGUGAUCUAUCCAUGAGCAAGUUGAAGCUAGUGUAAGAACUAGUGGAGGACUGAACCCAUAGGCGUUGAAAAGCCCCGGGAUGACUUGUGGAUAGGGGUGAAAGGCCAAUCAAACUUCGUGAUAGCUGGUUCUCUCCGAAAUAUAUUUAGGUAUAGCGUUGUGUCGUAAUAUAAGGGGGUAGAGCACUGAAUGGGCUAGGGCAUACACCAAUGUACCAAACCCUAUCAAACUCCGAAUACCUUAUAUGUAAUCACAGCAGUCAGGCGGCGAGUGAUAAAAUCCGUCGUCAAGAGGGAAACAACCCAGACUACCAGCUAAGGUCCCUAAAUCUUACUUAAGUGGAAAACGAUGUGAAGUUACUUAAACAACCAGGAGGUUGGCUUAGAAGCAGCCAUCCUUUAAAGAAAGCGUAAUAGCUCACUGGUCUAGUGAUUUUGCGCGGAAAAUAUAACGGGGCUAAAGU